Molecule: ribosomal RNA, 467 nt
Filed under: uncultured bacterium
Lineage: Bacteria
Description: partial 16S ribosomal RNA
Rfam family: Bacterial small subunit ribosomal RNA
Source: RNAcentral
GACGAACGCUGGCGGCGUGCCUAACACAUGCAAGUCGAACGGAAAGGCCCUGCUUUUGUGGGGUGCUCGAGUGGCGAACGGGUGAGUAACACGUGAGUAACCUGCCCUUCACUUUGGGAUAACUUAAGGAAACUGGGGCUAAUCCCGGAUAGGAGCUCCUGCUGCAUGGUGGGGGUGGGAAAGUUUGGCCGUUGGGGAUGGAAUGGGGGCAUCUCGGCUUGUGGGUGGGGCAGGGGCUUACCAAGGCUUUGACGGGUUGCCGGCCUGAGAGGGUGACCGGCCACAUUGGGACUGAGAUACGGCACAGACUCCAAUGGGAGGCAGCAGUGGGGAAUAUUGCACAAGGGGCGGAAGCCUGAUGCAGCCACGCCGCGUGCGGGAUGACGGCAUUCGGGUUGUAAACCGCUUUCGCUUGAGACGAAGCGUUAGUGACGGUAAUGGGUAAAGAAGCACCGGCUAACUACGUG